GUGUAACUGCAACACCAGAUGAAACGAGCAGUACCAAAGGGGUACCAAUAGCCACCACUUUGAAUGCCUUCAAUAUUCUUCUGGCUGGCACGAAGGUUCAUCCUGUUAAGAAAACCUGUCACAACAGAAAAGAUGAACUUUACAAUGACGUUGUAGAGAUGUGUGUGUCAAGAGACCUUAAACUACACAAAAGCGCUGUCAAAGAUGAAGGCUCAUACAUCAUCCAGGUAUUGACCAACGCUUUAUGGUAUAUCACCAACCAGCAUCAGACCAUAAAUGAUACGUCAUUACGCUUCAAAGAUGUUGUUCCUGUGCCCGAGCCAUUUGAGAAGUUCCAAGGUUACAACGAAUUCAA
Molecule: long non-coding RNA, 355 nt
Organism: Mya arenaria
Lineage: Eukaryota; Metazoa; Mollusca; Bivalvia; Myida; Myidae
Exons: 3
Source: RefSeq, a predicted model, not a curated record